UACUCAGUUCGGAUUGCAGGCUGCAACUCGCCUGUAUGAAGUCGGAAUUGCUAGUAAUCGCGGAUCAGCAUGCCGCGGUGAAUACGUUCCCGGGCCUUGUACACACCGCCCGUCACACCAUGAGAGCCGGGAACACCCGAAGUCCGUAGUCUAACCGCAAGGAGGACGCGGCCGAAGGUGGGUUUGGUAAUUGGGGUGAAGUCGUAACAAGGUAUC
Molecule: ribosomal RNA, 216 nt
Filed under: uncultured bacterium
Lineage: Bacteria
Description: partial 16S ribosomal RNA
Rfam family: Bacterial small subunit ribosomal RNA
Source: RNAcentral